This is a non-coding RNA of Arvicanthis niloticus (Nile rat), 480 nucleotides long. Lineage: Eukaryota; Metazoa; Chordata; Mammalia; Rodentia; Muridae. The record is from RefSeq and is a predicted model, not a curated record.
UUCGAAUGAGAUUAAUAUACGAAUUGGAAGUUCUAUUGGUAGAAUGACUCGGUUGUCAACUUCUAGCAGUCGUAGUUCACCUAGUUUUAAGUCGUUUGUUGGAAUUAUGUAUGAGUUGAAGCAUAAGUCUUCUUAGUCUGUGUAUUCAUAGCUUCAGUAUCAUUGAUGUCCUAUAGUUUUUAUGGUUAGAACAGGAUUAUUGAUUUCAUCUAUUAUAUAUAGAAUUCGUAGAGAUGGUAAGGCAAUUAGGAUUAGGAUUGCAGCUGGUAAAAAUUGUUCAGAUUGUUUCUACUUCUUGGGCAUCUAUUGUGCUUGUGUGUGUUAAUUUUGUUGUUAGUAUUAGAGAGAUAAUAUAUAGGACUAGAGAGCUGAUAAGAAAUACAAUUAUCAGAGUGUGGUCAUGGAAGUUUAUUAAUUCUUCUAUGAUAGGUGAUGUAACAUCUUGUAGACCUAGUUGAAAUGGACUCCUAGAAGAUGACA